Long non-coding RNA from Hibiscus syriacus, 753 nucleotides. RefSeq lists it as uncharacterized. Lineage: Eukaryota; Viridiplantae; Streptophyta; Magnoliopsida; Malvales; Malvaceae. The record is from RefSeq and is a predicted model, not a curated record. The transcript is spliced from 3 exons.
UAGGACUGUGACAGUUUGUAGUGAUAGAUUAGAUGGAUCCUAGAGAGAAAGCUUUAGAAUUUGACCUUGAAAAUGGAGUAGCUGUUAAUGGUAGAGGCUAUUUCGUUGUGCCGUUGUUGCCCGGUGAUGUUUCGAGUUGUGGUAGUGUGUAUGUGGAGGAUUUGCAGGCAAUGCCGAGCUCGAAUUGUGAUAAGGAUGGAAAGGAGAAUAGAUUAGUGUCGAAGGAAAACGUAAAAGCUUGAGCCAUAAGAAACCUCCUAAGCCUCCUAGACCUCCGUCGUUGGAUGCGGCCGACCAGAAGAUAAUUAAGGAGAUAGCGGAACUUGCGAGAUUGAAGCAUGCAAGGAUCGAGCGGAUCAAAGCCUUGAAGAAGAUGAAGGCUGCUGAGGGAACAAGUUCACGCAGCAACAACGUGCUUGUAAGUUGCAACCGUGUUUACUGUCAUUUUUUGUAUUGUCAUGAUCUUUCAAGGAAUGUCAUCCGGAGGUAGACCGACAAGUUACGAAGAAUCUCCCGUGCCAGCCGGAGCCGGAGCACUGAACAGAGGUCUAAUUUCAGUUCAAUUCUCGGAGAAACCAGCUGCCAUGAUUCCAAAUCAACCAGAUUCAGGAUCUCCCUAUUUAGUGGAGCAGGUUGCAGGUUUAGACGCUCAGGAAAAGCUUAAAAGAUCUUCUGGAUAAAAAUUCGAUUUCGAGCACUCUAUAUGUGGCUAUAGGGACAAGUACUUGUUGCUGUCUUCCAUCAAGGCCAUUU